RNAcentral lists this ribosomal RNA (264 nucleotides) under uncultured bacterium. RNAcentral's name for it is "partial small subunit ribosomal RNA". It matches the Rfam family "Bacterial small subunit ribosomal RNA", at positions 26 to 291 of the family's 1533-position model. The record is from RNAcentral.
AGGACGAACGCUGGCGGCGUGCCUAACACAUGCAAGUCGAACGGGACCAGGGGCAACUCUGGUUCAGUGGCGGACGGGUGCGUAACACGUGAGGAACAUGACCUUCGGCGGGGGAUAGCCGGCCCAACGGCCGGGUAAUACCGCGUACGACCACUUUGGGACAUCCCUCGGUGGUGAAAGCAGCAAUGCGCCGAUGGAGUGCCUCGCGGCCUAUCAGCUAGUUGGUGAGGUAACGGCUCACCAAGGCGACGACGGGUAGCUGGU